GAUGAACGCUGGCGGUAUGCUUAACACAUGCAAGUCGAACGGACUCUUCGGAGUUAGUGGCGGACGGGUGAGUAACGCGUGAGAAUCUGGCUUUGGGUUCGGGACAACCACUGGAAACGGUGGCUAAUACCGGAUGUGCCGAGAGGUAAAAGAGAAAUUGCCUGAAGAUGAGCUCGCGUCUGAUUAGCUAGUUGGUGAGGUAAAGGCUCACCAAGGCAGCGAUCAGUAGCUGGUCUGAGAGGAUGACCAGACACACGGGGACUGAGACACGGCACAGACUCCUACGGGGGGCAGCAGUGGGGAAUUUCCCGAAAUGGGCAAAAGUCUGACGGAGCAAUACCGCGUGAGGGAAGAAGGCUCUUGGGUUGUAAACCUCUUUUCUUAGGGAAGAACAAAAUGACGGUACCUAAGGAAUCAGCAUCGGCUAACUCCGUG
RNAcentral lists this ribosomal RNA (435 nucleotides) under uncultured bacterium. RNAcentral describes it as "partial 16S ribosomal RNA". It matches the Rfam family "Bacterial small subunit ribosomal RNA", at positions 28 to 507 of the family's 1533-position model. The record is from RNAcentral.